GACAAACUUAAGAUUUUCCAGGGUGCUUCCUGGUGUGUUUUUUCUUUCAUUCUUAUAGUGCAUCAAACUAAAGACUCAAGGAUUACUUUGCUCUGGAAAUUUUUGUUCUAUUUAUUCUUGUUUUCCACCUGUGUUUUAGUCUCUUUUAAAAAUGCUUGUUAUUGGGUCUUUUGGGUCUAUUUCCUUGAUCUUUUCUCUUUAUAAAAAUGUCUUGCCUUUUUAUUUUUUCUUCUUAAUACAGUGAGAAUGUGCUAGUUCAGUGCUCAAUUUUGAGCAGCUGGGUGAAGACCAUUUCAUUUUAGUGUUAGGAGACUAGUUUGGCCUAACUAAAUCCCUCUGCUAAAGAGACCAGGUUGUUUUUCUUGAGUCCAAUCUACUGUGGUUGUGUCCCCCUCAUAGUUUUUAGUAAAGAGUAAAGAUAGGAUUUGUCCAAAUUUCUUCUAACCAUUUUAAGAAUGUGUUUAUGGAGUAGGGAUACUUGAAGGGGGAAUAAAAUUAUCAUUUUGGGACCUCAGAGGCUUAAUCUCCUGUCUUUUCUAUCCUGUCACCCAGCAACACAUUCUUUGGACUGAAUUUCUUCUACAGUGGAACCAAGAAGAGGAUUAAUUAAUACAUUCAAUUCUAAAAUAAACCAUGGCCAAUGUAAGUUUACUACUUCAAGUUUCUAAUUGAAGUAAUUUUUUUCUUAUAAGACACAUGAAUAUUUGCAUUCUUCGUCCUGAUAUUAUUACUGUACUCAGAAUUAUACAGUAACUUACUAGUGAAUAAGUG
RNAcentral lists this long non-coding RNA (771 nucleotides) under Marmota monax (woodchuck). Lineage: Eukaryota; Metazoa; Chordata; Mammalia; Rodentia; Sciuridae. The record is from RNAcentral.